AUUGAACGCUGGCGGCAUGCUUUACACAUGCAAGUCGAACGGUAACAGGCCGCAAGGUGCUGACGAGUGGCGAACGGGUGAGUAAUGCAUCGGAACGUGCCCAGUCGUGGGGGAUAACUACUCGAAAGAGUAGCUAGUACCGCAUACGAUCUAUGGAUGAAAGCGGGGGACCGUAAGGCCUCGCGCGAUUGGAGCGGCCGAUGUCAGAUUAGGUAGUUGGUGGGGUAAAGGCUCACCAAGCCAACGAUCUGUAGCUGGUCUGAGAGGACGACCAGCCACACUGGGACUGAGACACGGCCCAGACUCCUACGGGAGGCAGCAGUGGGGAAUUUUGGACAAAGGGCGCAAGCCUGAUCCAGCAAUGCCGCGUGCAGGAAGAAGGCCUUCGGGUUGUAAACUGCUUUUGUACGGAACGAAACGGCUCUGGUUAAUACCCGGGGCUAAUGACGGUACCGUAAGAAUAAGCACCGGCUAACUACGUG
RNAcentral lists this ribosomal RNA (482 nucleotides) under uncultured bacterium. RNAcentral describes it as "partial 16S ribosomal RNA". It matches the Rfam family "Bacterial small subunit ribosomal RNA", at positions 30 to 507 of the family's 1533-position model. The record is from RNAcentral.